RNAcentral lists this long non-coding RNA (468 nucleotides) under Salvator merianae (Argentine black and white tegu). RNAcentral's name for it is "lncRNA (ENSSMRG00000008896.1)". The record is from RNAcentral. Lineage: Eukaryota; Metazoa; Chordata; Lepidosauria; Squamata; Teiidae.
GUGGCACUCGGGGGAAGGGCAUUUGCAGGUGACCAGCCAAUCGUUACUCAACUGCAGGGAAACAGGUGGGGAGGCCGAGGAACAGAAGAGGCCAACAGGUGCGGCAAACGAGGCAGCUUAGGGUUGCUUUGUUUAGGCACCAUGCAAAGGCGCUCCUGUUUGGCCCCCAUGUGGACGCAGCUCUUGGCCAAAGCCGCUUUCUAGCUCUGCUGAUGCCACGUGCUCGCUCUACCAGGCUGGAGGUGCACAUUCCAAGACCUGAGGAUGGAGACGUGGUGUCUGCCUUAGCUUUUCUCUGUCAGCACUCCUCUGUUCACCAGACUUCAUGGACACACCUUGGCAACAGUGGAGAAGCCAUUANCUCUUGUGGCAGUUAGAUGCGGGACCAUCUGCAGGCAAAGACUGCAGGAGCUUCAAUUCAUCCCAAGCAUGUGGAUCCUCUCCAGAGAUCCACUCAAGGUGAGUUUG